UCAUGGAAAAAUGUUUAA
This 18-nucleotide microRNA is filed under the name Corchorus olitorius. RNAcentral describes it as "cin-miR-4192-". Lineage: Eukaryota; Viridiplantae; Streptophyta; Magnoliopsida; Malvales; Malvaceae. The record is from RNAcentral.